GGAGAGAUACUCAAGAGGCCGAAGAGGACGGUUUGCUAAACCGUUAGAUCGAGCAAUCGGUGCGAGGGUUCGAAUCCCUCUCUCUCCG
This 88-nucleotide transfer RNA is filed under the name Tepidibacillus decaturensis. It matches the Rfam family "tRNA". From Rfam's summary of the family: Transfer RNA (tRNA) molecules are approximately 80 nucleotides in length. Their secondary structure includes four short double-helical elements and three loops (D, anti-codon, and T loops). Lineage: Bacteria; Bacillati; Bacillota; Bacilli; Caryophanales; Bacillaceae. The record is from Rfam by way of RNAcentral. RNAcentral also lists the same sequence under 1 other name.